GAUAUUAAAAGUUAUUUGGAAUAACCGCAGUAAUUCUGGGGACUAAUACAUGACUUAAAGGGAGAUAUUCUUUCAAAAGGAUAUCUUACCUGUAUUUAUUAGACUUAGAAAAUUGGUACUGUAGUAAUACAGUUCUUUAAGGUUGAACCAUAAUAACUAUGUUGUAACAAACAUAAAACGAAUCGUAUUGAUCCUAGCGAUCGACGAUGAAUCGUUCAAGUUUCUGACCUAUCAAUUCAAGAAGGUAGUGUAUUGGACCACCUUGAUUGUAACGGGUACGGAGAAUUAGGGUUCGAUUCCGGAGAGGGAGCCUGAGAAACGGCUACCACUUCCAAGGAAGGCAGCAGGCGCGCAAAUUACCCCAAUCUCAAUACGAGGAGGUAGUGAAUAAAAAUAACAAUCCAGAGCUUUGUAAAAAAAAGUUUUUGGAAUUGGAAUGAGAACAAUGUAAAUACCUUAACGAGGAACAAUUGGAGGGCAAGUCUGG
This 487-nucleotide ribosomal RNA is filed under the name uncultured eukaryote. Its description in RNAcentral is "bacterial SSU rRNA". It matches the Rfam family "Eukaryotic small subunit ribosomal RNA", at positions 123 to 564 of the family's 1831-position model. The record is from RNAcentral.